Leptopilina boulardi is the source of this 7147-nucleotide RNA transcript. It is a transcript of the gene named DNA polymerase epsilon catalytic subunit 1, with no coding region annotated. The transcript has 20 exons. Lineage: Eukaryota; Metazoa; Arthropoda; Insecta; Hymenoptera; Figitidae. The record is from RefSeq and is a predicted model, not a curated record.
AUUGAAACUUGCACAAACAUGCAAUGGCGAAGCAAACUACUGUAAAAAUCACGUUUGUCAAAUGUACAUAUAUUUAGUGUAAUUACAAGUGUAUAAUUAUAUUUCUGUGUAAAAUCGUUGUCUCAAAAUGUCUGUUAAUACCGGGCGCUACCGUCCUGACAGGACUGAUACAUGGAAGAAGAAAUUUGGUUCAGGAGAUAAUGUUCCCAGAGAAAAUACUGCAGAGGCAAGACUAAAUCAAGUAAAUGAAAAUAUUAAAAUUGAUGCUUUAUAUGGAUUCCACAGAGUAACGGACGUUAAAGAAAGAAUAGGAUUUUUAUUAAAUAUGCAUGCGACGGAUAUUGUUGAAGAUGACAAGCAACUUGUUAGCGGUGUCGAUUAUUAUUUUAUUGAAGAGGAUUUUACUCGUUUCAAAGUUUCAUUACCGUAUGAACCAUAUUUUUAUGUUUUAUGCAGAAAAGAUACUAUUCAAGAAGUUUCAACAUAUUUAUUCAAAAAAUUUUCGGGAUUUAUUUUAAAAAUUGAAAUAGUAAUAAAAGAAGAUCUCGAUUUGCCGAAUCAUUUGAUUGGAUUGAAACAAAGAUAUUUGAAAUUAAAAUUCUCAAAUUUAGUAAAUUUAAUGAAAGUGAAAAGAGACAUAAUGAGUGCAGUGAGAGUUAACAAAGAACGUGAAAAAAAUAACACAUAUUAUGAUCAAUUGUUGACGAAAACGUUGAAUUCUAACAAUGUUCAUGAAAUGAAGAAAACGGUGGAUCAUAUGGAUAAUAUUCUUGAUAUUAGAGAACACGAUGUACCACAUCACGUUCGAGUAUCAAUUGAUUUAAAAAUUUUCGUUGGCGCUUGGUACUCGAUAAAAACAUGUGGAACACAAAAUCCGCCAAUAAUUACUCGAAGAGAUGACAUUGUUGAACGACCCGAACCAAUUGUCCUGGCGUACGAUAUUGAAACGACAAAAUUACCAUUAAAAUUUCCCGACGCAAAUAGCGAUCAAAUUAUGAUGAUUUCCUACAUGAUUGAUGCACAGGGUUACUUGAUAACGAACAGGGAGAUAAUUUCUGCAGAUAUUGAAGAUUUUGAAUAUACACCAAAACCAGAAUUUGAAGGUGUCUUUACAGUUUUUAACGAGCCAAAUGAAAAAGCUUUAAUUAAAAAAUUCUUCGAUCAUAUUAAUGAUGUGAAACCUCAUGUAUUUGUAUCUUAUAAUGGAGAUUUUUUCGAUUGGCCGUUCGUUGAGACAAGAGCUGCAAUUCACGGAAUGGACAUGAAAGAGAGAAUUGGAUUCUCGAAAAAUAAAGAUGGUGUUUAUGUCAGUCGACCAGCUAUGCACAUGGAUUGUCUAUGUUGGGUAAAACGUGACUCAUAUUUACCAGUGGGCUCACAAAAUUUAAAAGCCGUGGCUAAAGCAAAAUUAAGAUACGAUCCAGUUGAAUUGGAUCCUGAGGAAAUGUGUCGACUUGCUUCUGAGGAGCCAACAGUGCUUGCGAGUUAUUCCGUGUCCGAUGCAGUUGCCACAUUUUAUUUAUAUCAAAAAUACGUGCAUCCAUUUAUUUUCGCUCUAUCGACAAUUAUUCCCAUGGAACCGGAUGAAGUUUUACGUAAAGGUUCCGGUACAUUGUGUGAAACACUUUUGAUGGUUGAAGCUUAUCAUGCAAAUAUUAUCUAUCCAAAUAAACAGGAAGCUGAAUUUAAUAAAUUAACAACAGAUGGACAUGUUUUGGAUCAAGAAACAUAUGUUGGCGGUCAUGUGGAGGCACUUGAAUCAGGUGUUUUUCGUGCUGAUAUUCCGUAUAAAUUUAAAAUUGUUCCAACCGCUGUUGAAAAAUUAAUCGAUGGCAUUGAGGGCGCAUUGAAAUAUGCAAUUGAAGAGGAAGAAAAAAUUUCUCUCGAUUUAGUGACAAAUUUUGGGGAAAUUUUAGAUGAGAUUAAAACAAAACUCACUGCGCUUAAAGAUCAACCUUUCAGAAUGGAGAAACCUGUUAUUUAUCAUUUGGAUGUUGGUGCAAUGUAUCCGAAUAUUAUUUUGACAAAUCGUUUACAACCAUCGGCAAUGGUGAAUGAAACUGUUUGCGCCGCUUGUGAUUACAAUAAACCCGGAGCUCUUUGCCAACGUAAUAUGAAAUGGAUGUGGAGAGGCGAAACAAUGCCAGCAAGUUUGGGCGAAUAUCAAAGAAUACAACAACAAUUGGAAAUGGAGAAAUUUCCAUCGGCUUUUCCGGGUGGAGCAAGACGUGCAUUUCAUCAACUUUCAAAACAAGAACAAGCGCAAUAUGAAAAGAAACGAUUAACGGAAUUUUGUCGCAAGGCGUAUAGAAAAACAAAAAUAACACGGACUGAAGAAAGAACACAAACAAUUUGUCAGAGGGAAAAUUCAUUUUAUGUUGAUACUGUUCGUGCAUUUAGGGACAGACGAUAUGAAUAUAAAGGUAUGACAAAAGUGGCAAAACAACAAGUUGCCGCUGCAAUGAAAAGUGGUGAUGCUGCGGAAAUUAAAUUGGCGAAAGGAAGAGAAGUUCUUUACGAUUCCCUUCAGCUCGCUCACAAAUGUAUUUUGAAUUCCUUCUACGGAUACGUCAUGAGACGAGGAUCCAGAUGGUUCAGUAUGGAAAUGGGGGGAAUUGUUUGUUACACGGGAGCUCAUAUUAUUAUGAAAGCUCGUGAAAUUGUUGAAAAAGUUGGCCGACCACUUGAACUUGAUACUGAUGGAAUUUGGUGUAUUUUGCCCGCUUCGUUUCCCGAUAAUGUUGUCGUGAAAACGACACAUCCGAAAAAAUCGAAAAUUACGAUUUCUUAUCCGAAUGCUGUGCUUAAUUUCAUGGUGAAAGACGAAUUCACAAAUGAUGUGUAUCAUGAUCUUGUGAAUAAGGAGAAUUUAACGUAUAACAUUCGAAGUGAGAAUUCCAUUUUUUUCGAAGUUGACGGACCAUAUUUGGCAAUGGUUUUGCCUGCAUCUAAAGAAGAGGGAAAAAAAUUAAAGAAAAGAUAUGCUGUCUUUAAUUUUGAUGGAUCACUUGCUGAAUUAAAGGGUUUCGAAAUAAAACGACGUGGUGAACUUCAAUUAAUUAAAAUCUUUCAAUCGUCGGUGUUUGAAUCGUUUUUAAAGGGCGAAACACUUGAAGAAUGCUAUGCAUCAGUUGCCAAAGUUGCUGAUUAUUGGCUCGAUAUACUUUUCAGUAAAGGGUCAAAUCUUCCGGAUUCUGAAUUAUUUGAAUUGAUUUCGGAAAAUAAAUCAAUGUCAAGGACAUUGGAAGAUUAUGGAAGUCAAAAGUCGACGUCAAUUUCGACUGCUAAGCGAUUGGCGGAAUUUUUGGGUGAUCAAAUGGUUAAGGAUGCGGGAUUGGCAUGUAAAUAUAUUAUCUCCAAAAAACCCGAAGGAUCUCCUGUCACUGAAAGAGCCAUACCGUUAGCUAUUUUUCAAUCAGAACCAAGUGUCACUAGGCACUAUCUGAGAAAAUGGUUGAAAGAUCCAAGUAUUCAAGAGCCAAAUAUUCGGGAAAUUUUGGACUGGAGUUAUUAUAUUGAAAGACUUGGAAGUGCGAUUCAGAAAAUUAUCACAAUUCCCGCAGCCAUGCAAGGAAUUGCGAAUCCAGUUCCAAGAGUCAAACAUCCCGAUUGGUUGUACAAAAAGGUCUCAGAGAAGAACAAGACAAAAUCGCAAAUGAAAAUUAACGAAAUUUUCAAAACUGUACCAAAGGAAGUGGUAGAGAAUCUCGAUUCGACAAUGGAAGCAGACAGUGAACUUGACAUUGAAGACAUUGGAACAAGACAAUCAAUAUUUAAAGUUCCAUUAACAUCAGCCGUUUCAAAACGAAAGCGAGUAAUGUCAUCAUCAGAGGAUGAAAUUGAGAAUAAUACAAAAUCGUGGAUGGAGGUUUUAGGUAAUCCACCGCCAAUGGGAACGACGAGAGAUGAACGAAUCGCUUGGAUUGAGUUUCAUAAGAAAAAAUGGGCCUAUCAAUUGAAACAAAAGGGUCGCGAACCUGGUGCAAAAAGAUCGCGAAGACAAAUGAAUAAUUCUUUUCAUCAAGUGAAUCGUUCAGUUGUGCGAAAUCCAACCAGUGGCACUUUGGGUGGAUUUUUAAAACGUGCUCAAGAAAAAUUACUUAUCACACCAUGGCAAAUAAUACAAAUAGUUGAAACCAAUGAGCCUGGCUUAUUUCGUCUUUGGGCACUCGUCGAUCAAGAAUUACAUCAAUUACGACUUAUUGUGCCGAGAAUAUUCUAUGUAAACAGACGUAUUUUACUUCCCGAUCCAACAUCUAAACAACAGUGGCAAAAAUGUUCGAAAAUUUUACCACGUGGACGUCCUGUUUUUAAUCUCUAUCGGUACACUGUCGAUGAAUCGAAAUUUCGUCAUCACAAGGAGGGAGUAUUAAAUGAAUUGAUGACACCCGAUAUUGAAGGAAUUUAUGAAUCGCAAAUGACAUUGGAAUUCCGUGCGAUUUUACAAUUGGGUUGUGUUUGUACAGUUGAUCAAAAUUUAGAUUCAAAAAUUGCCGAAGGUGCUGAUACUUUUAAUCUCGAACAAUUGACAUUCAAGAGUGUUGGUUAUCAACCAUAUUUGGAACAAACCGGAGCUUUAAAAUACAUUUUUCUUUAUCAUCAUUGGUCAUCGAAUCAUCAGCGUGCAAUUUGGGGAUUAUUUUUAGCGCCAAGUAAAAGAUGUCAUGUUUUUGUGUUAAAUUCAGCGAAAACGAGUCAAAUGCCAAAUAUGGGUUCUUUGUAUGUGAAUGAGAGAAAUUUAGCAAAUGAAAAACAAUUGGAGGAUGAAAAUUUAAAAAGUACACCGGAAACAUUACAUUUUGAAGUGAAAGUCGAGACGGAUUCAUUGAAAAUUUAUAAAGCCAUUCAAGUAGCAUUGAAGAAUUAUAAAAAUGAAAUGAAAGGUGCAACAAUAUUGGUAUUACAAACAGCAAUGGAAGUUUCACAUUUGACAAAUCAUAUGCCAAUGAUUAAUGAAUUUCCAUUUAUUAAAACUCAUAUUGCCGAUGUUGAAAAUUUAUAUAGUACAUUGGAAUGGCAAAAAAUUGGUGCCAAGGCAAUGAUAAGACAUUAUUUGGAAUGUGAAAAAACAUUGCAUUUAAUGUUGGAACAAUGUCGAUAUUUUCAUGCACCAGUUGGAAAUAUUCCUAUGGAUGCGACAUUAUUUGGCGCUGAUUUAUUUUAUGCACGACAUUUACAGAAGAAUAAUUUUGUUCUUUGGUGUUCGCCAACUGAGAAACCAGAUUUUGGAGGCAGUGAAAAUGACGACAAUCGAUUGCUCACGGACUUCGAAGACAGUUCAAGCUGUGAAAUCAAUAAAACUGGUACUUAUUCAAGUGUUUGUGUUGAACUUGAAAUUGACAGUUUAGCGGUGAACACAUUACUUCAGGCUCAUCAUGUUAAUGAUGUCGAUGGAACUAGUUCGUUUGUUGCAUUUCAUAGUGCUCCACAAGCGACACUACAGGAAAUGAUAGCUGGUGAAUCAACAACAUUGGGAAUUCCAAGCUAUGAUGAAACGGCCUUGUGUAGUGCAGCAUUUAAAGUUUUGCGAAAUAUGGUGAACGCUUGGUUAAGGGAUGUGACUAUUUAUAAAAAUAUGUUUGCCGAUUAUCAAAUAAUUCAUUUUUAUCGUUGGCUUCGUUCUCCACAAGCUUUACUUUAUGAUCCUGCACUUCGUCGAACACUACACAGUUAUAUGAAAAAAUUAUUCCUCCAAUUAAUUGCCGAAUUUCAAAGACUUGGCUCUGUUAUUGUUUUUGCGAAUUUUAACAAAAUUAUUUUAUGCACGAAAAAACGUACCGUUCCAGAUGCAUUGGGAUAUGUUGAAUAUAUUGAUCAUUCAAUUCGACGAAAGGAAUUAUUUCACAGUAUUGACAUACGUUUUGAAAAAUGUUGGGAAUAUUUGAUAUGGCUUGAUUUGACGAAUCAUGGUGGUGUUCGGGGCAAAGUACCAAAGUCUGUUAUGGAAGAAAGUCAAGCAGAACAAAAUAUGGAGGAGGAAGAAGAAAAUGAAGAAGAAGGGCCGGAAAUAAUUAUGAAUUGGAAUUUAAUGGAAUAUCUACCAAAAGAAGCGUCUUGUCAAACUAUUUUCAGUAAUAUUAUUGCGGGUUAUAUAAAUGCCAUUUAUCAGCAUAUAAGUGAUAAUGAACCAGGAAAUGCAACACCACGUCCUCGACAAAGAAGUCAAAGUGUUUCCAGUCAAAGUUUCACUCAACGUCUCGGUUUAGCGGAUUUAGAAAAUACUGCACAAUUCGCUAAAGCUUUAAUAACUGGCGAAAUGUCUCAGAAACUCUUUCAACUUGUUCAGAAAAUACACAAAAAAUUACCAGAAAAAGUAUUAAUGCCGGAAGAAUGUCCUCAUUUGGGAACGAUAGUAUCUGGAAAACGAAUAAUUAAACCGGCAGUUGAAGUGACAAAAGCAGUUUGUGAGGUUUUAUCACUGGACAAAGAAGUCACAGAAGAAAUUAGCAAUCUAAAAGAAAAUUUAUUGAAAUUAGUUAAUGUUAGUGUAUAUAGUGACGAAGCUGAAUGGAGAGAUCCUUCCGUUUCCUUUACACUGCCGGAAGUAAUUUGUCAGGGUUGCAAUCAUACUAGAGACAUUGAUCUUUCUAGAGAUAAUUUUCGUGCCUUUGAAAAUAAUAGACAAGUAUGGAAAUGUCCAGUUUGUGAGAUGAGCUAUGAAAACGAUGAAAUUGAAAUGGCACUAUUGGAUCUAUUAAAUAGAAAAACAAUGGCUUAUAUUCUUCAAGAUUUACAAUGUCGCCGUUGUCUUGAAGUGAAAAAGGACAAUAUCAAAGAACUUUGCUCAUGCGGUGGUAAUUUUAAGACAUUAAUCACCAAAAAAGAGAUGACAAUAUUUGCCAUGGUUCAUAAAAUAGUUGCAGUUAAAUGUCAAAUGGAAAUUUUAAUGGAAGCCUUGGAAAAUACAAAUCUCCUCGAAUCUACAGAACCAGUGGAGUGAAAAGAAGAAUAUAUUUUUUUAAAGAAUGAUAUCAGUUCUGUGAACUGUGAUAAAUUUUAAGAUUGCCAAUUGUUGCUACAUUCACGUCAAUUCAUAGAAAGUUUUCGCGCCUUUGUGUGAUGUGCUCUGAUGUGCUCCGACAAAAAUUAAGUUUAAGUGAUGUGUUUUCCAGUAAUAGUUCUAUUCUCAUCUCAAGUUGAUUGAAAU